RNAcentral lists this ribosomal RNA (774 nucleotides) under uncultured Neocallimastigales. RNAcentral's name for it is "partial large subunit ribosomal RNA". It matches the Rfam family "Eukaryotic large subunit ribosomal RNA", at positions 24 to 634 of the family's 3401-position model. Lineage: Eukaryota; Fungi; Neocallimastigomycota; Neocallimastigomycetes; Neocallimastigales. The record is from RNAcentral.
UAUCUCUGUAGAGUCUGCAUAUCAAUAAGCGGAGGAAAAGAAACUAACUAGGAUUCCCUCAGUAACGGCGAGUGAAGCGGGAAGAGCUCAAAUUUGAAAUCUUCAAGGUUCUACCUUGACGAAUUGUAGUUUAAAGAAGUGUUUUCUGUUGGUGUUUUGGUAAAAGUUCUUUGGAAUAGGACAUCAUAGAGGGUGAGAAUCCCGUAUUUGACCAUUACUUCCAGCGUUGUGAUACACUUUCAAAGAGUCGGAUUGUUUGGGAAUGCAGUCCAAAAUGGGUGGUAAAUUUCAUCUAAAGCUAAAUAUUGGCGAGAGACCGAUAGCGAACAAGUACCGUGAGGGAAAGAUGAAAAGAACUUUGAAAAGAGAGUUAAACAGUACGUGAAAUUGUCAAAAGGGAAGCGUUUGACACCAGUGUUGUUUUCUCGAAAAUCAAUUAAAAAAAGUUGGAUUUUGUAUUGUUAAGACCUUAUCAGCUUACUGUACUCUUUUCUUGCUUUUUUUAAUGCACUUUUCGUUUAACAAGUCGACAUCAAUUUCUUUUGUUGUAAAAGAGUCAUUGGAAGGUGGCUUUCACUUCGGUGAAAGUGUUUAUAGCCUUUGACUUCUGCAAUCGGAGAGAUUGAGGUCUGCAGCGUAGAUCCUUCGGGGUUAGAUACAUUUGUGCUAAGUUAUAGCCUUUCAUAGACAACUUGUUGACUAUGAUCAGUCAUGUAGCUUACUCGCUUAUGCUAUUUUACCUACGCUUAGGAUGUUGAUAGUCACAGCGUGUAC